UCGACUCAGAAGAGAUUACCCGCUGAACUUAAGCAUAUCAGUAAGCGGAGGAAAAGAAACCAAUACGGGAUUCCCUUAGUAGGGGCGACCGAACAGGGAUGAGCCCAGCGCAGAACCUCCCGGGCCACCCGGCCUGCGGCGGAAUGUUGCGUAAAGGGAAAGGUCGUAGUCAAACCCCACAGCCACGCGAACUCUAAGUCAGCCACGAAUAGGCUAUCCCAACUAACGGCGGGAAAGACUCCACGGAGGGUGUAAGACCCGUGUGGGCGCGUGUCAAAGCUGUGCGGGCUCGGCCUCUUUUCCCUGAGAGUCGCGUUGCUUGAGCAUGCAGCGCUAAGCAGGUCGUAAACUCGAUCUAAGGCUAAAUAUUCCACA
This 375-nucleotide ribosomal RNA is filed under the name Gammarus wilkitzkii. RNAcentral describes it as "eukaryotic LSU rRNA". It matches the Rfam family "Eukaryotic large subunit ribosomal RNA", at positions 1 to 329 of the family's 3401-position model. The record is from RNAcentral. Lineage: Eukaryota; Metazoa; Arthropoda; Malacostraca; Amphipoda; Gammaridae.